AACGAACGCUGGCGGCAUGCCUAACACAUGCAAGUCGAACGAGAUCUUCGGGUCUAGUGGCGCACGGGUGCGUAACGCGUGGGAAUCUGCCCUUUGGUUCGGAAUAACAGUUGGAAACGACUGCUAAUACCGGAUGAUGACGAAAGUCCAAAGAUUUAUCGCCAGAGGAUGAGCCCGCGUAGGAUUAGCUAGUUGGUGUGGUAAAGGCGCACCAAGGCGACGAUCCUUAGCUGGUCUGAGAGGAUGAUCAGCCACACUGGGACUGAGACACGGCCCAGACUCCUACGGGAGGCAGCAGUGGGGAAUAUUGGACAAUGGGCGAAAGCCUGAUCCAGCAAUGCCGCGUGAGUGAUGAAGGCCUUAGGGUUGUAAAGCUCUUUUACCCGGGAUGAUAAUGACGGUACCUAUAGAAUAAGGACCGGCUAACUACGUGCCAGCCGCCGCCGUAA
This 449-nucleotide ribosomal RNA is filed under the name uncultured bacterium. Its description in RNAcentral is "partial 16S ribosomal RNA". It matches the Rfam family "Bacterial small subunit ribosomal RNA", at positions 29 to 523 of the family's 1533-position model. The record is from RNAcentral.